UCUAUGCUUUUACGAACAGAUCUGUGUCUAUACAAACUGUUUUUCUUCUUGUAGAUCUCUUUUCUUUUGGAAGUAUUCACAAAUUCAUAGAUCCAGACCAGCUUGGUAGUGGUUCUAUUUCAACGCCUGCUCAGUUCUUUCUUUCUUUCAUUUUUUUCCCCAUCUCAAGCCCUAACAUCAAGAAAGACAGCUUCUUUCUUGAAAAAGUAAUCGAGAUUUAACCCAUGCGGUACCUCUUUUCUGGGCAGGUAUACUUCAGCCUGCCUGUUAACUUGUCCACUUAAUUGGUGUCUUGGAUACCAAUCUCGGGAAGCUGAGUGAAGUAAAUAGACCAAGAAAGACAUGGACCGAGAAGCCAGUAGCAGAUUGCAAUUACCUCAAGAUGGUUAUGAGUGGAAAAAAUAUGGUCAAAAAUUUAUCAGGAACAUCGGCAAAUUCAGGAGCUACUACAAGUGCCAAAGGGCCGAAUGCAAUGCGAAGAAGAGAGCUGAAUGGUCAGAGACUGAGCCAGGAGAUUUACGAGUUGUGUACGAAGGGGCUCACAAUCACAGCUCCUCCUUGCAAGAUCAAUCCGGGUCAUCACAAUCUGGUGCAUCCAGCACGAGUGCCAACCAAUAUAACUUACUCAAUCAAGUGUUUGGAGACAACCCACCUUCUGAUUACAGGCGUUCUGGCGAUUAAAAACUCAAUAUAUCAAAGAAUAAUCUAGUUAUGUUGCAAUGAGGCGGUAUUCUAUGAAAAACCAAAUUUUCCUCUUCAUCUUGGAUCAGCAUUUAGUUUCUUUUUGGCUGAAUCCUGGGUAUGUUUGGGUUCUCUGCUGCUAUCUCCUGAUAUGGAACUUGAGUUUGCCUC
This is a long non-coding RNA of Eucalyptus grandis, 852 nucleotides long. RefSeq lists it as uncharacterized. The transcript has 3 exons. The record is from RefSeq and is a predicted model, not a curated record. Lineage: Eukaryota; Viridiplantae; Streptophyta; Magnoliopsida; Myrtales; Myrtaceae.